Molecule: small nucleolar RNA, 79 nt
Organism: Podarcis muralis (Common wall lizard)
Lineage: Eukaryota; Metazoa; Chordata; Lepidosauria; Squamata; Lacertidae
Gene: SNORD34
Rfam family: Small nucleolar RNA SNORD34
About the family: snoRNA U34 is found in intron 5 of the ribosomal protein L13a gene in humans. U34 is a member of the C/D class of snoRNA which contain C (UGAUGA) and D (CUGA) box motifs, and functions in directing site-specific 2'-O-methylation of 25S rRNAs. Although the selection of the target nucleotide requires the antisense element and the conserved box D or D' of the snoRNA, the methyltransferase activity is thought to reside in one of the protein components.
Source: Ensembl
UUCUGUCAGUGAUGUUUUUCUUAUACCUACAUUGUUUGACUUGAAGAGUGAGAAAAAAAUUCCAAACGCUGAGGCAGAU